RNAcentral lists this ribosomal RNA (441 nucleotides) under uncultured bacterium. Its description in RNAcentral is "partial 16S ribosomal RNA". It matches the Rfam family "Bacterial small subunit ribosomal RNA", at positions 338 to 795 of the family's 1533-position model. The record is from RNAcentral.
CCUACGGGUGGCAGCAGUGGGGAAUAUUGCACAAUGGGGGGAACCCUGAUGCAGCGACGCCGCGUGGGUGAAGGAGUAUUUCGGUAUGUAAAGCCCUAUCAGCAGGGAAGAACAAUGACGGUACCUGACUAAGAAGCACCGGCUCAAUACGUGCCAGCAGCCGCGGUAAUACUGAUGGUGCAAGCGUUAUCCGGAUUUACUGGGUGUAAAGGGAGCGCAGGCGGCGCGUUAAGCCUGGUGUGAAAGCCCGCGGCCCAACCGGGGGACUGCAGUGGAAACUGGCGCGCUGGAGUGCCGGAGGGGUAGGCGGAAUUCCGAGUGUAGCGGUGAAAUGCGUAGAUAUCAGGAGGAACACCGGCGGCGAAGGCGGCCUGCUGGACCGCGACUGACGUUGAGGCUCGAAAGCGUGGGGAGCGAACAGGAUUAGAUACCCGGGUAGUC